Molecule: ribosomal RNA, 490 nt
Filed under: uncultured bacterium
Lineage: Bacteria
Description: partial 16S ribosomal RNA
Rfam family: Bacterial small subunit ribosomal RNA
Source: RNAcentral
AUUGAACGCUGGCGGCAGGCCUAACACAUGCAGGUCGAACGGUUACAGGAAGAAGCUUGCUUCUUUGCUGACGAGUGGCGGACGGGUGAGUAAUGUCUGGGAAACUGCCUGAUGGAGGGGGAUAACUACUGGAAACGGUAGCUAAUACCGCAUAACGUCGCAAGACCAAAGAGGGGGACCUUCGGGCCUCUUGCCAUCGGAUGUGCCCAGAUGGGAUUAGCUAGUAGGUGGGGUAACGGCUCACCUAGGCGACGAUCCCUAGCUGGUCUGAGAGGAUGACCAGCCACACUGGAACUGAGACACGGUCCAGACUCCUACGGGAGGCAGCAGUGGGGAAUAUUGCACAAUGGGCGCAAGCCUGAUGCAGCCAUGCCGCGUGUAUGAAGAAGGCCUUCGGGUUGUAAAGUACUUUCAGCGGGGAGGAAGGGAGUAAAGUUAAUACCUUUACUCAUUGACGUUACCCGCAGAAGAAGCACCGGCUAACUCCGUG